Molecule: unclassified non-coding RNA, 880 nt
Filed under: Polistes dominula (European paper wasp)
Lineage: Eukaryota; Metazoa; Arthropoda; Insecta; Hymenoptera; Vespidae
Description: survival of motor neuron protein, transcript variant X1
Source: RNAcentral
AUGGUUGAUGACAAUAAUGUAUUAUUUGUUAGAGGAAAUGAAAAUGACAAUGAAUUUAUUUGGGAUGAUGCAGCAUUAAUAAAAGCAUACGACAGAGCUAUAAAUCUAGCUAAGGAAGAAGUUGCUAUGCGAAUUGGUAUCGAUUAUCCAUGUACAACUUCCAAAUCAAAAGUUCCACAACAGAAACAAUCUCGUACUACAUAUAAACAGAAAAAGAAAUGGUGUGUUGGGUCUCCGUGUCGUGCUGUCUAUUCAGAAGAUGGUGAAAUUUACGAAGCUAUUAUAACUAAAAUUUAUGACAAUUACGGAACAUGUAUUGUCAAAUUUAUAGGUUAUGGUAAUAGCGAAAAGGUAGAAUUAAGUAGUCUUUUAGAAUCAGAAGGAUUACAAAGUCAAAUUGCUCAGCAGAAGAAUGCAUUAGCAGAAAAAUGUAAUGAAGAAAGUAUGGAUCAGAGUGAGUCAGGUUGUUCUGAUUGUAAGGCUAAAAGUGUUAAUAGCACCGUUGAUGAAAAGAUGGAAUUUGAUUCUGAACAGAGAGAACCUAAAAUUUAUAUCGAUUCAGGUCCAUCGGUUAAUCCUUUCUUAAAUAUGAUGCCUCCUGCACCUCCUUUACCACCUCAAUUAAUGGCUAAGCUACCAGAAAAUGAUGCAGAUGCUCUUUCCAGUAUGUUGAUGUCAUGGUAUAUCAGUGGAUUUCAUACAGAAAAUUUCUUUGAUAGGAUACUACCACGGUUUGAAACACGCUAAGGACAAUAAUCUGAAAAGAAAGAAUUGACUUUAUAAGAGAAAGAACACACAAAUAAUAAUCCAUCUAAUCUUGCAAGAAGUUCUGCCCUAAAUCGUCUAGCAGGUUCAGAGUUCAUCGAAGAAUAAUCACCGG